CUUAAUGAAAAUUCCCUCCACCAUGCCUCCUCCGCUCAUCAAGCACCCCCGAGUUCUCAAAGAAAAGGAACCAUAUAUGAAGUUAGCCAGCCCAUAGGUCUAUCCGAGAAAGUAGAUGCACUAUCCCGCAAAUUGGGCCAGCUAAUGUCUAGAGAACAGCUUCCAAACUUUCACCAAGCACAAGUAUGUACUCUCUGUUCUAGUCCAUCUCACACUGUCUUUGAGU
RNAcentral lists this long non-coding RNA (226 nucleotides) under Phoenix dactylifera (date palm). Its description in RNAcentral is "long non-coding RNA (PDAC_LNC009624)". The record is from RNAcentral. Lineage: Eukaryota; Viridiplantae; Streptophyta; Magnoliopsida; Arecales; Arecaceae.